RNAcentral lists this ribosomal RNA (388 nucleotides) under uncultured bacterium. RNAcentral describes it as "bacterial SSU rRNA". It matches the Rfam family "Bacterial small subunit ribosomal RNA", at positions 28 to 417 of the family's 1533-position model. The record is from RNAcentral.
GACGAACGCUGGCGGCGUGCUUAACACAUGCAAGUCGAGCGGUAAGGCCCUCUCGGGGGUACACGAGCGGCGAACGGGUGAGUAACACGUGGGUGACCUGCCCUCAGCUCUGGGAUAAGCCUGGGAAACUGGGUCUAAUACUGGAUAUGACUCCACGGUGCAUGUCGUGGGGUGGAAAGCCUUGUGCGGCUGAGGAUGGGCCCGCGGCCUAUCAGCUUGUUGGUGGGGUGAUGGCCUACCAAGGCGACGACGGGUAGCCGGCCUGAGAGGGCGACCGGCCACACUGGGACUGAGACACGGCCCAGACUCCUACGGGAGGCAGCAGUGGGGAAUCUUGCGCAAUGGGCGAAAGCCUGACGCAGCGACGCCGCGUGAGGGAUGACGGCCU